Agrilus planipennis (emerald ash borer) is the source of this 642-nucleotide long non-coding RNA. RefSeq lists it as uncharacterized. The record is from RefSeq and is a predicted model, not a curated record. Lineage: Eukaryota; Metazoa; Arthropoda; Insecta; Coleoptera; Buprestidae. The transcript is spliced from 2 exons.
AAAAAUUAAAAGCAUGUUCUUGUUUGGGAAAUGUAUUUAUUGAUGUAAAUCUUUAUUAUCAGUUAGCAACUACUGUAUAAAUCAUUUUGUAUUUAAAUAAGUUGUAUUACGUAUUUGUAUUCUAAGCUAAAAUAUUAAGAACAAUUUUGAUGUUAAAAUAUUAACCGUUAAAAUAAAAGCUAUAGAAAGAUAGUUAUUUAUUUAUGUACGUAUUUAGAAAUUAUUUCUUUAAAUUGAAAAAUCACUCGCAAUAUCUAUACGGAAAUUACAUAAUGUAUUGCAUGCUUUUGUAAUUGCACCGAAACAAUUAAAAAAGAAAUCUGAAAGCUCUGAACUUUCCGAAUUUUCGAUUAAAUUGCUGUUAUUAAUUCAUAAGAUAGAAACAGACGUAUGUGUUUUUUGUUAAGCACGUCGUGUUUAACUUAAUGAAAAUUACUUACUUACAGAAACAAUAAACUUUAUUUUUAUUCAUAAACCUUGGCGUGAUUUUAUUAAUGGUGAACACCGGGAUCUCCAUGGCUAAAGGUCAGACAGACAGACGGCCUGUUUUGAAUAAACAGAUGCUAUUGAAGGGUAUAUAUAAACAAACUGCGAGCUGCAUGGAUCAUUAGUUGUUUCAGAAGCUUCAGAAACCAGCAAGUG